RNAcentral lists this ribosomal RNA (1040 nucleotides) under uncultured Bacteroides sp. Its description in RNAcentral is "bacterial SSU rRNA". It matches the Rfam family "Bacterial small subunit ribosomal RNA", at positions 446 to 1499 of the family's 1533-position model. The record is from RNAcentral. Lineage: Bacteria; Pseudomonadati; Bacteroidota; Bacteroidia; Bacteroidales; Bacteroidaceae.
AUAAAGUCGGGUAUGGAUACCCGUUUGCAUGUACUUUAUGAAUAAGGAUCGGCUAACUCCGUGCCAGCAGCCGCGGUAAUACGGAGGAUCCGAGCGUUAUCCGGAUUUAUUGGGUUUAAAGGGAGCGUAGAUGGAUGUUUAAGUCAGUUGUGAAAGUUUGCGGCUCAACCGUAAAAUUGCAGUUGAUACUGGAUAUCUUGAGUGCAGUUGAGGCAGGCGGAAUUCGUGGUGUAGCGGUGAAAUGCUUAGAUAUCACGAAGAACUCCGAUUGCGAAGGCAGCCUGCUAAGCUGCAACUGACAUUGAGGCUCGAAAGUGUGGGUAUCAAACAGGAUUAGAUACCCUGGUAGUCCACACGGUAAACGAUGAAUACUCGCUGUUUGCGAUAUACUGCAAGCGGCCAAGCGAAAGCGUUAAGUAUUCCACCUGGGGAGUACGCCGGCAACGGUGAAACUCAAAGGAAUUGACGGGGGCCCGCACAAGCGGAGGAACAUGUGGUUUAAUUCGAUGAUACGCGAGGAACCUUACCCGGGCUUAAAUUGCAGAUGAAUUACGGUGAAAGCCGUAAGCCGCAAGGCAUCUGUGAAGGUGCUGCAUGGUUGUCGUCAGCUCGUGCCGUGAGGUGUCGGCUUAAGUGCCAUAACGAGCGCAACCCUUGUUGUCAGUUACUAACAGGUUCCGCUGAGGACUCUGACAAGACUGCCAUCGUAAGAUGUGAGGAAGGUGGGGAUGACGUCAAAUCAGCACGGCCCUUACGUCCGGGGCUACACACGUGUUACAAUGGGGGGUACAGAGGGCCGCUACCACGCGAGUGGAUGCCAAUCCCCAAAACCUCUCUCAGUUCGGACUGGAGUCUGCAACCCGACUCCACGAAGCUGGAUUCGCUAGUAAUCGCGCAUCAGCCACGGCGCGGUGAAUACGUUCCCGGGCCUUGUACACACCGCCCGUCAAGCCAUGGGAGCCGGGGGUACCUGAAGUGCGUAACCGCGAGGAGCGCCCUAGGGUAAAACUGGUGACUGGGGCUAAGUCGUAACAAGGUAA